GUUUGGUGGUUUUGUUUUUUACAGAGUCCCUGUGAAGCAGGCAUAGUGAGAACAGGCUCACUGCAGCUCAGUAGUUCCUCCAUCAGGGAACUUCAUCUUUGAGGAGAACAAAGCGAAAAGCCCCUUCCCCACCCUCCAAAGCAGCCCAGCGUUCAAGUGAUGGAAAUGGCCGAGUGAUUGGUAAUGUUACUUUUCCCAUUAACACUAUCAUUUGUAUUAUGUUCUGCUUAAUACAAACAGAAAUGAUAUAUGUUUGUCUUUUUAUUAAAUAAUGACAUUUAGGAUUUAUAAAUAGUCCCUGAUUAUUCUCACUUGACUGCUUUCUAUGAAUCGGCAACACAAAAUAAAAUGACAAAAUUAUAUGGCUUCAUUAUCCUAAAAUGAGCAGAUUGUAAUUUGUAAACUUAUUUAGAAAACAUUGCCACUCCAGGAUUGACUUAUAUAGUAAGAGGAAUGAAUCUAAGUGGAAUUUUGUCAUUUCACAGUUGGGUAGUAAAAUGACUUUUAGCAAGGUUAAGGCUCAAUUAUUUCUGGAUUAUAUAAAAAAAGCUACAGUGAAGCUGUAUACAUAAAGCUGUAUACAUACAUAAAGGUGCUUUAUGUAUGAGGCUUAUUUAUAAGUUGUGUUGUUCCUUUCAGCCCUGCAGUUAGUAGAUGGGAUUCCUCCAGACAGUGCUUUGGAAACAAGCUCUCCUGAGGGGCCAUCCAGGAGAGUCAAGUACUGACCUUGACUCCACUCUGUGUCAGUACUCAAAAAGAAUUUCCAUGCCAGUUGAGGAAUGGAUUUAAUUAGAAUGCUCUAUGAAAGAGAUCCGAUUCUUUGACCUCAUUUCCCAAAUUUAUUUCGUGAAAUGAAUUCUCCUUCCCUUACUCCCCCCAGGAGUAGAGAUUAGAGUCUGAAACUGGCACAAAAUCAACAUUUCAGUUCUGGAAUUAUACCUGGAGGACUUUCCCUGUUUGGUCUCUUGUUUUUCCUUAUUCAAUGUCAGGUCGACAUUUGUUAACCUCCUUCCCAAGAGUACUGACACAUCAUAGUUAGAAACAUUUAGUAUGUUUGGGGAAAAUUUUACAUUAAAAUAUAAGCAUAGUUUCUUUAAGCAAUGCUUCUAGGUAUGAAUUCAAUGACCAGGUAUCCUACAGUCAUGGUAAAAAUUUGUUACCCUGAAAAUACUUUCUAUUAUAUAACUUGCAUUAUCAGUUCUCCUCAAAUAAGUAACUGAACUAAAUUUUAUUAAAAGUAUGUACACUAUGAUUAAAUUUUAUGUGUAUUUUGACUUAUAUGUUCAAUUAUCAAUAUUAAAUUUGCAUAUAUAUUGGUAUAUAUUGUAUAUGGGAUAUAUUCUUCAUCCCCAUGUUUACCAAAGUUGUAAUCACAUGACUCACAUUUUACUUAUGCCUGUAUCAACAUGUGGUUUUAUAUAUGCUUUCAUACAUAAUUUCACAGUAUAUUCUUAUGAAUAUUGAUAUUUCCCAAUUCACAUAUACAUUCUUACACUAAAACCCUAACACAAUCCAAAAUUUUAUAAUGACCUUUAUAUUACUUCUAUAAGAAAGGCAAAUUUUACUUCAGUCCUUGUACACCAAUAAGAAUUUUAAAGUGUAUUUUGACUUUUAUUUUCAAUGAUCAAUAUUAAAUUCACAUACAUAUCAUUGUAUAUCAUUUAUAGGGUAUAUCCUUGAAACUCCCUAUUUACAAAAUGUCUCAUCAUAUAAUUCAUAUAACAGUCUCCCUAAUGUCAUACCAUGCAUGUUUUUUAUGUAUUUUUAACAUAUUUUCACACAUUCAUCUUAUGAAUACAGAUAUUUCCCAGUAUACAUGUCCAUUCUUUAACCCUAAUCCUAACUCAAACCAAAAUUUUAUAUUAUCUUUACAUUACCUUUUUAUCUAAAUCCAGUUUUACUUGAAUUCAUGUAGUCCAAUAAAUUUUAAAUUGUAUUUUGACUUCUAUUUUAAUUGUUUAAUGAUAAAUCUGCAUCUAUACUAAUAUAUGUCAUUUAUAGUUUAUAUCUUCACCUCCACUUAUAUACAACAUGUGUAAUCACAUGACUCAUAUUGUAUUCUUCUCUGUGUCAUAACAUGUAUGUUUAUAUAUGUUUUGGUACAUUUUUAAUGUAAAUUCUUAGGACUGUUCAUAUUUUCACAUACAUAUGUUAAUCUUUAACCCUACCACUAACUCAAACCAAAAUUUCAUAUUAACCCUAACCUUACCUCUACAUAUUAACCAAUUUUACAUAAAUCCAUGUGAUCAGGUGUAUCAGGUGUAUAUAUGUGCCUGUGAGUGCUAGCUGUGCUUACUGGUUCAGAUAUAUAAGUGCGUAUGUAUAUGUAUGUAUGUAUGUAUAUAUAUGUACGUAUAUAUAUAUAUAUGUAUAUAUAUAUGUGUAUAUGUAUAUAUGUAUAUAUGUGUGUGUGUGUAUAUAUAUAUAUAUAUAUAUAUAUAUAUAUAUAUAUAUAUAUAUAUAUAUAUAUAUCUGACAGGAGACCUCAGCAGUCUUGUGCAGCCAAGCAAUUGCAUCAUCACAACCAAGUCCCUGGAUUGGCACCGGCAGGUUUCCAUGUUUGGCCAGAGUUAUUUAGUGCUGAGCACCGCAUUGGCCAGAACUCCAGUCCUCCCACAAGUUGAAGCCAGGAGGGCUGUGAGAACUCCCUUGGCUCCAAACAGCAAAAGUUGUGCAUAGACCCCAACCUCAAGCGCUACUGCAGGGGAGAGGGGGACGACACAACAUUCCUGCGCUGCCUCCUACACUCUGGCCCAGACAAGGAACCGGUACCCUAUGCCACCUCCUGGGCAAGUUCUGCAGCGCCCCCUCCUGCAACACAAGCCAUCCUCCCCAUCUUCCCGGGAACUCUGCUUCCCGCUCGCCCUCCCUGCACAUCAUGUGGCCCCACCCCUAUAUUGUUGGACACAGCCCUGCCCUCAACUCAUAAGUGAAUGCAUGAUGCGCGCACGCUCGACGCGCGCACGCUCCACACGCGCACUGUGAACUACUUCUGUGCAGUGGGUUUCCUGCCGCCUAGAAGUUUCAGGCAGAUGGUGGAGAAGCCCGUGUCUUCAAGUAGCUGCGGACCUACCUUUGGAAGGCUGCCUGGCCUGCUCUGCUCCUGGCCAAGAAGCUUUGUCGCCCUCUGGGAUGAAGUCCCUUCUGGCUUUCCACUUUGCGGUUCCUGGUGAGGAUGUGAGGCCUCCCACAAAGGCAGUCUGGCGCUCACCCCUGUGCUCCUGUUGGACAUUGUGGAUCCCAGGGAGAGCCUCAGGUAGAGAGGGCACCAGUGUGUCCAGCAGUUUGUGGGGUGCAGCACUGGCUGGAGCGGCGUCAUGGGACCAGAGCUGGGUAAGUAAUGUAUGGGGAAGAGGCAAAAUGUGUCUCUCUCCCUGUAAGGCGGUUCAUGGAUGCGCGGACCCUGCUGAGUCCUGUUUGGGAUGGGAACCUUGCUGGAUAGUUCUUAGGGAACCAGGAGCAGGGUGGGGUAGGAGGUGGGUGAGGUAGGAGCUCCGUGGGGUAGGAGCUGGGUGGGACAGUGCAGGGGAGGGGAUGCUCUGUGCUGUCCCUGGGAGGCAGUGACUGAAGGGGUAACCAUGCUGAGGCUUGUGGGGGAAGGGUCCUGGCUGGAGAUCUUAGGGGACCUGAGCUGGGUGGGGUAGUGUCUGGGGAAAAGGCACACUGUGCCUGUUUCUGCUAGGCAUUACCUUGUAACAUUCCUGGGCAAACCCCCACCCUCAACACACAGGUGAGUGCAUGAGGCACACAGGCUUGGGCAGGCAUAUUGCAAACUGUUUCUGUGCUCUGAGUUUCCAGGCAUCCAGAAGUGGCCAGUAGACAGUGGAGAAGCAUGUUCCUCAAGUACCUGAGAUCCCUCCUGCUGAACCUGGGAACAGAGCCUAGGUAGGGAGACCUCCAGUGUCCUCAGCAAUGUGUGGCGUAUGGCCCUGGCUGGAGAGGUGUUGGGGGACCAGACUGGAUGGGGUAGGUGGUAGGUGUGGUAGUGUGUGAGGAGGGGGCAUGCUGUUUCUGUAAAGUGGUGCCUGGAGAGGAAGCUCAUGCUUAGGUUUUUGGGGGCACUGCCCUGGCUGAAGGGGCUUCACGGGAACGGAGUUGGGUGAGAUAGUUGGUGGGGAGGGGGUACACUGUGUUUGCACCCGUGAGGAGAUGCCUGGAGGGGGCGCUCUUGCUGAGGCCUGUGGGUACAAGACCCUCACUGGAGAGGUGUUAGGGCACCAGGAACUGGAUGGGGUAGUACAUGGGGAGGGUACUUGCUGUGCCUGUCACUGCAAUGCAAUGCCUACAGUGGGUGCUUGUGCUGAGGCCUGUGCGGGUGCAGUCCUGGCUGGAGAGUUAUUGGGAGAUCAGAGCUGAAUGGGGUGGAGCUUGGUGGGGUAGGAACUUUUGUGGGGAGAGGUACACUGUGCCUGUUCUUGCUAGGGGGUAGCUGGAGGGGGCAGUCGUCCUGAGGCUUGUAGGGGCACAACCCUGGCUGGAGAGGUCUUAGGGGACCAGAGCUGGGUGAGGUAGUACCUUGGGAGGGCUGAACUGUUUCUAUAACUGUGAGGUAGGGCCUGGGAACAUCCCUGCACAUAGCCCCGCCCUCGACACACAUGUGCAUGCAGUUUGCACACAUUCACUGAUUCAUGUAGGGACUUAUCCCAAACUGCGUCUGCACAGUGGAUUUCUGGGCAGCCUAAAAGUGUACUGCAGAUUGUGGAGAAGCUAGGGCCUUCAAAUCACAGAGAUCCUUUCUACUGAUGGCUGCCUGGGAUGCUCCAGUCUUGCCCCUAGACUAUGCCACCCUCUGGGAAGGUGUCCUUGCUGUCCUUUCUCAUUCAUGGUUCCUGGUGAGGAUGUUGGGCCUCCCACAGGGACAGCAUGGCCCUCACCACCACCUCCUGUUGGUCUUUGUGGACUUAUGAGGACAGUCUCAGGUAGGGAGGACUCCAGUGUCCCCAGUGGUAUGUGGCAUAUGGCCCUGGGUGGAGAGGUUUUAGGGGACUGGAGCUGGGUGGUGAAGGAGUUUGGUGGGUAAUGUGUGGUGAUGGGGCACACUGUGCUUGUCUCUGUGAGGCAGUUACUUGAGGGGCACUCAUGCUGAGGCCUGCGGGGGGGGGGCGGCGCAGCCCUGGCUGAAGAGGCAUUGGGGACUGGAGCUGGAUGAGUUAGAGCUGGGUGGGGUAGUGUGUGUGGAGGGGGCAUGCUGUGCUGGCCCCUUGAGAGGGGCCUCUUUCUGAGGCCUGUUGGGGUUGGACCCUUGCAGGAGAGGUGUCCUGGGACCAGAGGCUAGGUGGGGUAGUGUGUGGGGAGGGGGCACUCAGUGCCUGUGACUGCAAGGUGAUGACUGGAGCAGACACACGUCGUGAGGCCUCUGGGGGCGUAACCCUGGCUGGAGAGGUGCAGGGGGACCGGCAGCUAAGUGGGGUAGUGAGUGCCGGCUGUGAGGGAGUGCCUGGAGGGGGCACUAGUGCUAAGGCCUGUUGGGGUGGGGAAGUGUGGCAUAGGAGUUAGUGUGCUGUUCCUGGGUGCUCUUGGCAGGAGCUGAGUGGGUGUGUCAGAGGUUGCAGGGAAGUGGGGCAGAGGCACUUGGGUGAUGUUCCUGGAUGCUCCUGGAGGCAGCUGAGUUUGUGUGGUGGAGGAUUUAGGGCCGGUACCUGGCUUCAGUAGUGGGACUUUGUUGGGGAAGUAAGUGUGAAGGGAAACUUUGGUUGGGGGCUGGCCUGAAUGGGGGGAUGUUGAAGGGAGAAAGAGGAACACCUGGUUUAAAUGGGAGUACACAUGUAUCAUUUUUAAAGCUGUGCAUACGGUGUAUCAUUUUAAAAGCUGUGUUCUAAACUUUAUCUACCAGUGUUUUCUUUUGUUUGUCCCCCCAAAAGUGUAAAUUACAAGUUUUCAGUGUAAGUCUAUUCUCUACAUUCUGUACAUAUAAUUUUUGUGUUUUUCUUGUACCUUAUAUUUUAUUACAAUUAGGUGAUUUUUGAUGAUUCAUUGUUUAUAAAUCAAUGACUUUCAUAUUUUAAAUCAAUCAUUUUUAUGGAAACCAUUUUUGUAAGUCCUCAUUAACUUUGCUUUUUAGUUCACUAUUUCCCAGUAAGUACAAUUACUCAUCCAUUGGCAUUUCCCUUUUUGCUGUGCAAAGGGUAUAUUCAUUCUGAAAUACUUUGAUGUGUAUUUUGUCCAGUGUGUCUUGCUCAAGCUUCGUGGAAAUUUAAUUAUCAGUUGUUUUUGUCUUAAAAUGGGAGAAAAACUGUAGUUGAAAUGGUCAGGUUUUUAAGGCAUUUGUCUUCUGGUGACAUUUUGCUCUGUUGAGACAUGCAUUUUGUAAGUACAUGUCUUUAUAGUAACACACAUAUUUCAUGUCAAUUUUUUUGUUCAUACAACCAGUUUUAGUAAAAAAAGGUUUUCUAUUUUUUUCACUUCAUCAUUCAAUAUGUUUGAGCCUCUGUUCAUGUUCUAUAUGUGGGAAUUUAUUAUGAUCACCAUUCUGAUAAAAGAAGCUGGUAGCAAAGUUAGGGCUAAUUUUUAUUUUUACCACAAGGUCACUUGUCAUAACGAGUUUUUACUUAGGGGUUUUACAAGUUAGCAUCAAAGUAGGCAAUUAAGAAUAUUAACAUUAACCAGCACUAUUAUAAUUAAUUUUUUUUUUACCUUUGGGAUUUCACAGUGGGAUUGAGAACUAUAUCAGGAGUAUCAUUUCUUAGAAGUAUUUUUAAGUGUAGCAGCUUAAUAAAUAUGCCUAGAUGCAACCAAGCUUACACAUUUUAAUGGAAAUAUUAAGCCCUGAAUUCCUGGGCUGGGGUUGUGGCUACACCUAAACAUAUACGUGUGUGUGUGUGUGUGUGUGUGUGUGUGUGUAUGCUCUGAAAUCCUGUCAGUUUUGAUUUUCAAUUAUGUAGAGUACCUUUCUGAGUAUUGAUUAUAUUUGUGUAAGUUCAUUUCAUAGUUUUUGCUAUUUAGAAUACCUCAACAUGCAAAUGAGGGCUCUCAUGAGGAAACUAAAUGUGUAAAUUUUGGUUUCCCACAGCAUUUCUGUGACGUAUCCCAGGGCCUCCAAGCCCCGGCUAGUGGUUUGCUUUAGAAUGAUGAUGGUAUAAAUGGAGAAAAGGGAUGCAUACUUGAUUGUUUUAUUUGUUCAUGUGAGUUAUAAUUGACAAUAAAAUGUAUUUUGACAUAUCAUACAUAAAUGGAGUAUAACUUCUCAUUCUUUUGGUUGUACAUGAUGUAGAUUCACACUGGUCAUGUAAUAAUAUAUGUAUAUAGGGUAAUAAUGUCUAAUUCAUUCCACUAUUCUUCCUACCCUCUUACCCUCCUCCACUCCCUUCACUCCCCUCUGCCUUAUCCAAAUCACCUGUAUUCUUCGCCAGAGGGCAUCCUCCUAUCUCAGUCUCUAAACUCAUGGACAUUACAGGUGUGCACCACAGUGCCUGGCUUUUCUUCUCAUUUAUUCUGCCCUCCCAGGCAAUAUUUUUUUCUCUCAAAGAUUUAUUUUGUUUAACACCUCAUAAGUACAUAUUAGUAUGUACAAUGUAAUUACUUUGAUUCCUGGGUAAUAUCUAUCUCAACUUUUAUCAUUUUUUAUUGUAAAUAUAUUUUAAAUAUCCUCCCUUCUAUCUAGUUUCAGUUAUUCAAUGCUAUAUUCACCCUCCUCUGCCAUAGAACACAAGAACUUACUCAUCCUAACUGUAAUGGUGUUCUAGUUGACCAAGAUCUCUCCAUCCUCCCACCCUCUACACUCUUCCCAGCUUCUGGUAACAACUAUUCUCUCAACAUCUAUGAGAUUGACUUUUGUAGAAUUCACAUAUAAGUGGAAUCAGGUAAUAUUUGUUUUUCUGUGCCUGGAUUAUUUUAUUUAACUUCAUGUCCUCCAUGUUUAUCUCUGUUGUUGUGUAUGACAGGACUUCUUUUAAUUUUGUGGUCACAUAAUAUUUCUUUGUAUAUUUCACAUUUUCUUUAUCCAUUUGUCAGUUUAUGGGCAUAUCUGUUGUUUUCAUUUCCUGGAUAUUAUGAACAGUGCUGCAAUCAGUAGGGUAGUGCAGAUGUUUCUUUGCCAUGCUCAUUUCAUUCCUUUUUGUAUACCCCCAAUAGUGGAAUUUCAAGAUUAUGUGGUAGCUCUAUUUUUAGUUUUUGGAGGACUCUCCAUACUUUCUUCUAUAAUAACUGAACUAACUACAUUCCAACCAUCACACUCUUCAAAAAUGGUUUUUGUGUCUUGCCUACCACAUGUAUCCCAAUAUUUCCCUAAUAUUAUGGCUUUCCAAGUAUGAAAAUAUCUACCUAGCCAAACCGUUAUCUCACUGUCCUCAAUACUGUCAUGUAAAUAAAAAUUUUUUACAACUGUUUCUCAAACACAGAAUGAUAGUUUCUGUCUGGAAGUUUACUAAUUUUUUACGCAACAUUAUCUUUAACUUUCUCAAUAACUUACAUAGUUCGUUCCAGUGUAUUUAAAGUGUUUACUGUGUUAUAAUAAAAUUGAUUUGUCAUUUUUACUUUACCAUAUUUGUUAAUAGUACCUCAAUUUUACAUUUAUAUCCCAAGGGGAUUGAAUCUAGGGCCUUGUGCGUGUGAGGAAAGCACCCUACCAACUGAGCUAUAUCCCCAGCCAUAAAAAUGGAGAAUUUCAUAGAUACCAUUGAAUUUAUGUAUUGAGAUGCAAGAAUAAAUAAAAUGGCCACAUGAGUCAUGAAUAAAGAAUAAUUUGAGAUUUUUCAAAAAUAAUAUCAAUAAUGACGAUAUAAAUUAAGAUAUUACUAAUAAUUAAAAUGUCUAUUUUUCUAGCACUUAAGACAAAUAAUCAACCUAGUCAGCAAGAAAAUGAGCACAUGCAUUAUUAUCUAGGCACUAUAUAUAUCCAUGUAAGGUCUAAAAAUAUUUGGCUUUUAUUUGGUGCUAAAGUUAAGAAAAGUCACACAUCACUAUUGCUGCAUUAUUUAAAUAAAUUUUUUUUGUUAAUCUUUUCUUUUUUGCUGGAAUUGUAAGGAUUUCUAGUAGACUUACUGUAUUAAUUUAUUGAGGUAUUCUGCUUAACUUGCAUCAUAGACUCCUCAAGAUUUUAAUAUGUAAAAAUAUUUUGACAUGCAUAAUCUAUUUUUAUUUCAUCAACACGUUUUCUUAAGUUAUGUAUUUAUGAACCACAUAAACAAAAAUAUUCUACAAAGGUAAUAACUAAAUGAAGAGAAGUAAAACAAUUCCAUUAAACAUAUAAUAAUCUAUGUUCACCAUUGAGCAUCAAAUUUUUAAAUUAUCAUGUCUUGUCAUUUUUCCCUUAUUUCCUAACACAAAUUAUAUUAUUCAAUACAUCUUAUACAGAAAAAAAUACUUUAAUUCUUAUUAAUAAUGUUUUCCAGCUGAAGCAGAAUUUUCUGAAUAUUUCUCUGUGUGUGUAUGUUUGUGUGCAUAAACGUGUACGACUGUGUGUGUGUUUGUGUGUAUAGAGAGAGAGAGGGGAGAGAGAAGGGCAGAAAGACUUUUUAUGUUAGGUAAAUAUAUUUGUAUUUGUAUGGGAACUCUGGUAUAAUUUUGCUAUAAAAUUUGAACUUAAAAAUGAAGUAUCUGAUAUAAAUAGUUUAUAAACAGAAAAAUGAAAUAUCUGAUAAUAAACAGAAGAAUGAAAAUUGAAAAAGUAUUAUCUGCUGGUACAUUUUGUAAUAUCUUUUAAUAUCAGAUAUCGAUCAGAUAAUUAUCAGUACACAGUGAGACUAAUUAUUUGGGAUGGUCAUCAAUAUUAAAUGCAUUUGAGAAGUCCAAAAUAACAGCUAUGUUUCCAUUUUGUUUUUCUUUUAUUAGUUUUAAUCUUAGUUUUUUUUUCACUCUUUGCAAAGUAUAAACUAUCACCACCUCUUUUUCUCAUACACUAUAGCUACCUAAAUAAAUUGUUUAGAAAAUUUAUAAUGUAUUCUCCAGUAUGUUACAUGAUCAUUAAAGUUUGAGACAAAUGUUUUCAACUCAUUGUAUGCUAUUUACAUUGUUGUGAUUUUUUUUCAUUUUAUUAGAAUACAUGUAAUGGGAGGUAAUAUCUCUAUAUUUCAAUGUUGAAAUUUUUAAAGGUCUUAAUCACAGUACUUGUUGUAAUAUAGAGUUAUAUACAUACCAGAGAAUAACAUUAAUUUGAAAAGAUAGGACAUAAUGACAAUUAAACAGGAGGAUUGCAGGUUCAAGCACAGCCUCGGCAACUCUGUGAGAUCCUUUCUCAAAAAUGGUUUCAUCUGCUUCACUGAAAUAAAAUGUUGGGAAUCUAGCUCAGUGGUAGUGCAUCCCUGGGUUCAAUCUCCAGUGUUAGAAAAUAAAUGAAUAAAAAUAAAUGAAAAAAAGAACCAAUUAGUUGAUAACAAUUUAAUGAAAUGAAUGUGUAUUUUAUAAGAUAACACAUUAAAGGUUGUUUUUUUUUUUUUAUUUAGGUAGAACAAACAAAAAGAUAAGGUUAUUUUGUCCUAAUCAUAAUAUUUAUGACUUAUGGGAUUUAUUUUGAUAAUUUUAAAUUACUGAAAAAGUGGUAUAUUAUUUUAGUUAUUUAUAUUUCUUUUUGUUAAUAACUAGUUGUCAGCUAGUUAUAUCUAGUGUAUAGUGGGCAUGGUUUGGCCACCAUUCUUUGAUGAUAUAAAACAUUUAAUCAUAAAUAUGGCUUUUAAGAAUCCUAAUCUGGAGGCUUACUGAAGCUGGGGUGUGAGUGGCAAAUAAUGAACUAUGAAAAUAAUAACAAGGACUUUGGAAAAUGUUUAUUUUUCUCUCUCUUUCUCUGAUUGAUAUGAGUCUUUCUAUAUGUUUAUCCAUUUAUUUAUUAACAUGUUUGGAGAUUGAAAAGGCAAUUUGAUAUUAUUUCUUUUUAUAUGACAAGGGAGGAAAAAGUCACCUUGUCCUCUACAAAGGACUCCAAGAUGGGUGUUCUGUCAUGACAAGUCAUCAAGAUUUGAACCAUUUGCUAUUUGGGAACUGAGGCAAUUUACUUUUUUUUCUGUUCCUAUUUCUGUAUCUAAAAGGUAGCAAUAAAUAUAGCAGCUUGUUUAUAAUAUCCAUUAGUUUUAAAUAAAUGACGUGGAGACAAGCUGCCAUGUAGACAGUUUCCAACAAAAAUAGCAGCGACUCUUGCCACUGUCAUCUAUCUUGUGGUCCUUUGUCGUCAUAUCACAACAGUGCUGAAGUAUCAGAGAGAUUUAAUCCCUGACAGUAUCAUUAAUUCUCUGUGAUCUAAAUAGUUACAGCUAAUCUUUCUGGGUUUGGUUUGUCAUAAAUCAGUUGGUGAUGAAUGGUUCCUUUUCCACACAGAUGUUUGAAAAAUUUUAUACAUUGUUCAUACACUGUUGGGUGACAUUCUUGGAACACAUUCAACUGCAGCUAUUUGAAAUGUUAUUACUAAGAGCCCUCCCCCCAAUUGUCUUCAUGACACCUAUCUUCUGUAGCUUUUCCUAUUAUUUUCACUUAUAUCAGAAAUUUCUUUCUAAAAAUAUUUACUCUUGUCACAUUACUUCAGAUGUACCUUUAGGAUAAAAAUACAAACAAAAAAGAAACUAACAUAAAUAUAAUGAUAAUGAAUUCUUUUUGUUAGUUGAUAAGCUAAACAUAUUAUAGAAGUUCUCUAAUUUACUCCUUCCAGUGAUUCUUCAAUAUGGGUGAUUGUUUUCCCAAUUUUAACUGCUGAAGAGACUGGCAGAAGUAAGAUGAAUCAUGUUUUAGUGGCAUCAUCUUCUCUUUGUUAUUGAGACUUAAUGAAGAAUCUGUCAGUUAUUUUCUCCUCCUUGCAACUUAGAACGUAACAUGCUUUUAUGCACUGAAAAUAAAUCCUCAGUAUCAGCCGUCAGAUAUAAGGUAAAAAUAAUUUUUUAAAAAAUAUCUGCAUCAGUAUUUCUGAGAAUAAUUUGAAAAAGUGAUCUAAGGUAUUUGAAAAAAUGUUACAACACUUCACUGAAAUAAAUAGCACUGUUAUUGUUUUUGAGAAAAAAAAUAAACACUCAGGAUAUUUUUAAUUAAAAAUAAGUUAUAAAUUUAAGCUAUAAAGGAUAAUACUUAAAUAGCUUAAAUUUAACAAAAAAAAUUUGUAUAGGAUGCAUAAAUAAGUGUGCAUCAAGUAUAACUAAUCAUAAUAGAGAUACCUGGAAAAUAAAAAUGAGUAGUUCUACAAAAUAUUUAACUGUAUCAUUAUACUAUAGUAAAGCAUUAUAGUGUGGACACAAGGUAGCAGGUCUAUUAUAUGAGAAUAAAAAUGGAUAACUAGAAAAUUUCUAAUUUUUUGAAAAUAAAUCUAAUAAGUUAAUUGUAGAACUUGAAAUUUUUAUACUAUUAACUUCAUUUCUAAAAAUCUUGCCAGAAUUUACAGAAAAAAAUGUGUGACAUCUUAUGGAUGAGUACAUGCAUUGUAAGUUAAACAGUAGAACACAUUGGUGUUCAAGUUCUUACAGGCAUGACAUUAAGCACCUUGCAACAGAAGAACAAGCUGUAGGUAAAUUCUUCUCCAUGACAUUAUCACCUGUUUCUUUAGUAAAGUUCAGAAUGAAUGCACAUUUAGUUAAGGAUAACAGUAAUUUUUAUGUAGUUUUUUAUCUGCCAUCAUUAGAAAUGUAAUUAAUAUAUAAUUUUCCUACAAUAAAUAUAACAUUAGAAUUUCAACUAUUUUGCAGAAAUAUUAUUCCUGUCUCAUCACAGUGAAAACUUUAGUAAACUUUGUAUAAUCCUUAAAACAUUUUUAUAAAUAUUAUGCUAAUUCAAUAUUAAUAAGAGAUCAGUCUAGUUUAUGUUUUUUUCCUAAAAAUGGCAUUUUAAAACAAAAUUGCAUACUUAUACCUACUUCCAUUUUAUUUUCAGGUGUGCAUCUAUAAGAAAAAGUGGAUUUUUGUGAAAAGUAAUAAAAAAUACUGUUUUGUUAGCUACAAUGUAUAAUAUGCAAUUUUCAAAGAACACUGUGAAUUAUGUACACAUUAAAUACAUAUAAUCAUAUAUGUAAAUACUUUAGCAUAUAUAUAUACACACACACACACACACAAUAUGAAGCAAUAUUUUGAUGUUCUAGAACAGAAGUAUCGAAGUAUCUAGGGAGUUCUUUCAGAUUUCCUUACACUAAAUUCUAAAUCGGCAAACUAAAAUGGAUGUAUUUCUCUCAAUACAGCAUAAACUAAUAGAAAUAAAGAAAAUUUUGAUUUCUAAAUUAAUUUAAAAACUACCUGUUGUGUUACAAAAUGGCAAGGUUGGGGCUGGGAUUGUGGCUCAGUGGUAGAGUGCUUGCCUAGCAUGGGCAGGACCUGGGUUUCAUCCUCAGCACCACAUAAAAAUAAAGGCAUUGUGUUGUGUCCAUCUACACCUAAUAAAAUAAAUAUUUUAAAAAAUAGCAAGGUACUAAAAUUAGAAUUCAAAUUCAUAUCUGUAUAUAUUUUCAAAUAUUUGAGCUCUUUUCAUUUCUCACAUGAGUUCAAAAUAACAAUGAAAAUACCUAAAUCCACACCGUACUAGCCGAAAUUCUCACAAUAUCUAAUUACAUACUUAUUCUAUCCAGAUUCCAUGGUAACUCCUGGCAAUAACUAAAAGUGUUUCUAGUAGUAGUAGUAAUAGUAGGUAAAUGUUAUGUUUUUAAAAUCCAGAAUUAUUUUUUCAAUAUGUAAUCUCUUUAUGGUUUAUUUAUUAUUUCUGCCCAUGUGUGGUUAAGAGUUAUGUGACAGAGCAGCCCUGAAUGGGGCUAUGUAAGUUUCCUGGAAGUUACAUAACAAAAUACCACAAACUGUGUAGCUAAUAACAGACAUUUAUUCUCUCAAAAUUCUGGCUAUCAGAAUCUGAAAUCAAGGUGUGAGCAAGGCUGUGCUCCUUCUGAGACUCUGGAUAAAAUCCAUCCUUUCCUCUUCCUAGCUUUGGUGAUAACCAUUAAUCCUCUUCAAUUUUUGUCAGCUUGCAGCUGCCUCACUCCAAUCUGCUUCUGUUCUCACAGGUCCCUCCAUUCCCAUUAUCUUAUAUAUAAGUCCUUCAAGCAUAUUGGUUAAGGGGCAACAUUAAUUCCCUCAUGUUUACUGCAAGUAAUAAAAACAUGAUGGAUUUUACCAUCUUAGCCAUUAUUACAGACUGACAGAUUAAUUUUGUUCAAAUUAUAAUUUAAAAUAAACAACUUACAAGAGUGACAGGCUUAUUGCCGAUUUUAUUUUACAGUCCCAGCUCUAUUAAGUAUCUGUAAUGCCAUUUGAACAUUCUUAAGUUAGAUAUGUAAAUAGUUGUUUUGUAUUAAAAUAUGCUGGUAUUUUAAAUCUAUAAUUUUCAGUUAGGAAUAAAUUUUCUUAAAUGAUACUUAAAAAAUCAAAUAGUAAUUCCUUUAAAAUAACCUAUUAGCCAUUUUAAGUGUGUAAUAGAGUAAUAUUAACAAUUCACAUUGUUGGAACAACCUAGGUACCCUUCAACAGAUGAAUCGAUGAAGAAAGUAUGGUAUAUAUACACGAUGGAAUAUUACUCAGCCUCAAGGAGAAUGAACAUAUGGCAUUUACUUGUUAAUUGAUGGGACUGAAGCUGUCAUGCUAAGUGAUAUAAACCAGUCUCAAAAAAAAACAAAGGCCAAAUGUUCUCUCUGAGAUGUGGAUGCUAACCCAUAACAAGGGAGGGGAAGUAUAGGAGUUCACUGAAUUGGACAAAAGGGAAUGAAGGGAGGGGUGGGAAGAAGAAAGAGAGUAGAAUUAAUUGCACAUGAUUUUUCAAUGUGCAUAUGAACACAUGACCUGCACAAGAAUGGGAUAAAAAUUGGAAUGGUUUGCACUCUAUAUAUGCAUAAUAUGUUAAAAUACAUCCUAGGGUCAUGUGUAUGUAAAAAAAAAAAAAACAAAUUUAAAAAAGGAGAAAUAAUUUUAUGUAGGUUUUGUAUUCAAAUUAACAUAUGCUGUCAGUGAUGAGAAAUAUAAUAAUGUUUUCUGAUAAAUAAAAAGAAUCAGUAUUUGCAUAUUUUCCUUUCCUAGAAUGUUUAUAUGAUCAUUUGCUUUUUUGUUAUACCAUUCUUUUGUUUCCACUUGAAAGACUCUCUGCAGCAAUUCCAAAAAGGAAGUCUAGUGGUAAUUAACUCACUCAGCUUUUAUUUUUUUGCUAAGAAAGUUGUUAUUUUUUCUUAUUUUUUAAAGGAAAUUAUUACUGGUGCUCUCUUCUCAGUUGUCAAAUUGUUUUUAGUUUGUGUGUGGGCAUCCUUUUUCUUUGAAAAAUUAAUACAUCAUAUCUGACAUAAAGUUUUCUUCCAAAAAAUCUGCUGAUGUUUUUCUGAAAGCUCCAUCUUAGGAGAUAAAUCACUCUUCACUUCUUGUGUUCAAAAAUUUUUAUUUUCAUUUUAUUUACUUAUUUAUUUAUUUUCUAGUUGCUGAUAAACUUUAUUUAUUUAUUUAUAUAUGGUGCUGAGAAUUGAACAGACUUUUAUUUAUUUAUUCAUAUGAGGUGAUGGGAAUCAAACCCAGAGCCUCACACUUGCCAGGCAAGUGUGCUUCUGCUGAGCCACAGCCCCAACCCAUUAAAUAUCUUUAUUUUUAAAUUUUGAUAGUUACAAUUUGCCUCACUUUGGGUCCUUUGUGGAUUUAACUUAAUUAUUUUUCUUUGAGUUUCUUGAAUUUGGGUAUCCAUUUUCUUUCUCAGAAUUGAAAAAAAAAUUUUCUUUUAUUUUUUCAAAUGAGUUCUACUCCCCCUUCUCUUUCUCUUCUUUAGAGAUACACGCAAAACACAUAUUUUCCUUGUGAUGUUGUCCCUUAGAGUUUCUUCACAUUUAAAAUUUUAUAUUUUUAAUUUUCUUUUUGUUUCAAUCAAUAAUUUCAAAAAGCCUGUAUUUGAGUUCAAUGAGUCACUCUUGUGCUUGAUCAAGUCUGUUACUGAACACUUCUAGUGAAUAUUUUAUUUCAAUUAUUGUUUUAUUUAACUAUUGUCAUGUUGACAUUUUUACAUUUUACAUGAAUUUUCCUGAUUUUGUGUCAUUUUUUUUUUAAUAUUUAUUUUUUAGUUGUAGUUGGACACAGUAUCUUUAUUUUAUUUUAUUAUUUUUAUGUUGUGCUGAGGAUUGAACCCAGGACUUCAUUUGUGCUAGGUGAGUGCUCUACCAAUGAGCCACAAUGCCAGCCCUUUUGUGUAGUUUUCUGCUGUUCUCUCGUAACACAUGUAAGUAUUUUUACAAGGACUAUUUUUCAUUUCAUGAAAUUAUUCAUCGACCUUCAAAGUCUUAGGAUUGGUCUUUGUAGAGUUAUCUCGUUUAUUUGAUUUAUUUGUGUUUCUGUGUUUCUUCAUGUGUCUUGUUAUUUCUGUUAUAAUUUUUUGUUUUGUUUUUGCAUUUGAAGAAACAGCUACCUCUUCCAGACUUUGUGAAUCAGUUUUGUAUGGGGGACAAGUUUCACAAAUUAGUCAGAAAUUUUGGAAGCCCCAUGGAUCUUUUAUGGGAGUGGUUCUUUUCUGGACUUGAAAAAUGAUUUCUGAAUUAGAUUUGCUGGUUUCUUUAAAAAAGUCUUGUACUCUCUUCCUCCCCCUGGUGUCUCAUUGCUGUGAGGUAGAGUCUGAUGCUUAGACAAUCCGUUUGCGCUCUCUCUGGUUCUCAGCCCAACUCAGGUAUUGAAAGUAAGAAAUUUCCUCAUAUGAUCCUUGAGACAAGUGAGACAAAUCAUUUCAUCAGACAUCUGUCUCUCCCUAAACAACACCUAGAAUAUUGGAAGCAUAUCCACCCUUCCUCCUAAGAAAGUAGUCAUGAAUUAUGUUUGUCUUGCUGGGUUGUGCAUGGGGUUGAUAGCAAGUGAAUGGAAAUGGUCUUUUUUUACCUCUUUAAAUAAAACUCUGUAUUCCUGGAAUACCCCAAUUUCAUAACUUGCUUAUGCAAUGUUCUUACAGGAUCACUGGGCCAUAAUCUUUGUGUGUCGAUAUUUGUGAGGAAGUGAGGUCUGGGACUUUAUAUUCUGAAAAAUUUCAGACAUCACUCAAGGAAAACAUUUUAAUUUAAUAAAAAAGUCAAUACUAGGCUAUUCAUAUUAUAAUGUGACUUCAUUCAAGUAUGAUUUCUUAAAUGUGAGCUACAUUGUAGCAUAGCAUUCAUUUUACAGAAAAGCUUAAAUACACUUCGGCCACUUUUAUCUUAUGACCCAUUGAGUAACUACAAAUAAUAACAUUUAUGAUAUUUGUGGUAUUGUUUAAAUGUCCUAAACCUUUUGGGUUUUCAAGUUGCAAUAUUCUUGUAAAAUAUGUAUUAUUUAAAUUAUUUUUCAAUGCUGAAUAGCUGAAUGUAUCCAAUUAAAGUCAUAUGCAUUCUCCAAAUUUAUAAUUCAAUUUUCUCAAAAAAGUUUAGUCAAAUAGUAUUUUUUGUGAGCCCUGAAAUAAGGGAAUCUGAUUAGUACACUUAAGAUUUUAUAUUUUAAGGUGUUAGAUUAUAAAUCAAAUCUGAAAUCAAGAGUUUUCCAUUUAAUUUUUAAUACUUGAUAAUUUUUCUCUUAUUGUUUUAUUGAAAAUAUUUUGCAUUCCUUUAAUUUGUUCCUCAGACACCCUAUACAUCCUAGAUUUUACCUUUUAAUACUAUCCCGUAUUUCAUGAAAUUCUGCUCCUAUUCUCUUAACAUCUUUUCUCCAUGAUCAAGUUUCUUUGCCAAGAUUAUGUAUAUUGCCUUUAUUAUGUCAAUAUCUAUUUUUCAAAUGAUGUAGUCUGUUGGUAAUGCUUUCCAUUAAAUUUUUAAUUUGGUUUAUUGAUUCUUCAAUUUCAAGAGUUUCCAAAUUAUCCUUCAAAAUCUAUAUCUCCUUCUGGACAUGAUCUUUCACUUCUAAUAUUUUCUCUCUGAUUCCAAUCCUUACUUCAUUUUUUACCUCUUAUGUCUUGUUAUCUUUGAACUCUCUAAAUUUAUUCCUUGACAUUUCCUACACUGCAGUACCAGUAGAGUCUAUUGUUGAAUCAUUCUGUUUUGGAUGUUUUCUUCUCUUGUUUUUUUUUUCAUAUUGUUUAUGUAUCAACCCAUCUAUUCAAAUGGAUCUGAAGCAGUGGGGUUUCUACUCUACCAGCUUUUAGUUAUCCUGUAAUUUUCCAGUGCCUCAGAGAUUAAGGGAAGUCAAAUAACUGCAAAAACCUAUGCAUAUAACAUAUAGGAUUAAAUUAAGUACUUAGUUCCUAUUAUGACAUGUACAAUGUUGAUUGACACAAAAAACAGAAAUUGUAGGGUGAGCAAUUUCUAUCAGUAAAGAUAGUAGUUAAUCAUGAAUUAUGUCCAUCAAAAACUCAAACAAUUCGUAUUACCUAUGACUUCCAGUGUUUUAACUGCUUCUAUUGCAUUAGUGGUGGGGUCUGACAUUAUACAAACUAACCAUUGGUAAGAGAAGUUAAAAAUAGAGAUAAUUAAGAGUAAAGAAGAAUAUAUCAGGGAGACAAAGAUUUGCGAUUUCAAAAUCGGGCUGAUCCAUAGACAACAUAUUGUUCAUUAUUUAUAAGGGGGAAGAGAAGAAAUAAAAGUAAAAGAAAAAUUAGAGGAAGAGUGAAAGACAGAACAAUGAGUCUGGCUUCUGUUGGUUUAACAUCUAUUUAUUUAUAGAUUUUUAAAUUACAGCAUUAUAGACAUACACAACAUUGAAAUUCACCAUGCUUUAUUCAUAGAUGUACAGAGAGAGUUUAGUUUGUUUCAUUCUACUGUUCAUCCCUCUGUUUGUCCUCCGUGCCUUCCAUGUAACCCCUUCCACAUAUAUCUCUGCUAUUUUUGUUGAAUGCCCCCUUUUCCAUUAUGUGGUCAAGUAUUCACAUAUGAGGGGAAAUAUUUGACCUUUGGCUUCCUGAGUAUGGCUUAUUUCACUUAGAAUUGUGUUCUCAUUUCAUCAAUUUUCCACCUAGUGCCAUAAUUUAAUUCUUCUUAAUGACUAAGUAAAACUUCAUUGUGUAUAUACACCAUGUAUUCUUUAUCCAUUACUCUGUUGAUGGGUUUGAUGUCUGGUUCUGUAAUUAGGUUAUUAUGAAUUGUGUUGCUAUAAGCACUGAUGUGCCUGUGUUUCUAUAGUAUGCUGAUUUCAGAUAUUUGGAUAUAUACCAAGGAAUGAGACAACUGGGUCAGAUGGUAGUUCUAUUCCAAGUUUUGAAAGGGCUAUUAAUACAGUUUUCUAGAAUGGCUGUACUAAUUUGAAGUCCUAUCAACACUGCAUUUCCCCAUUAAUUAUUCUUUUUUUUCUUUUUAAAAAUUAUUUUCAGGUGUAUGUACAGUAAAGUGUAUUUUGUCAUAUUAUACAUACAUGGACUGUAACUUUCCAUUCUUGUGCUAUAUAUACUGUGGAGUUACACAGGUUGUGUAAUUCAUAUAAGUACAUAGGAAAGUUAUGUCUGUUUCAUUCUACUAUUUUUCCUAUUCCCAUCCUCUCCUUUCCCUUCAUCCUUCUAUGUCUAAUCCAAUAAACUUUAUUCUUCCUUUCCCCCCAAAUAUUCUGUCUGAUAUGUGGAUCUCUGCACAAUAUUCUUGAUAAUUGAUAUUUUGAGUGGAGUGAGAUAAAAUCUCCAUGCAGUACUUUUUGAAUCUAAUAGUUUUAUUGAAGUAUAGGGAAAGAGCAAGGGCAUUAUAACAGACUUUCUCUUCCUUGUAGUUUUGAUUGUCAUUUCCCUGAUUCCUAAAGAUGUUGUAUGUGUGUGUAUGUAUGUAUGUGUGUAUGUGUAUUUGUGUGUGUGUGUGUAUAUAUAUAUAUAUAUAUAUAUAUAUAUACAUACAUAUAUAUAUAUAUGUAUAUAUAUGUAUACAUAUAUAUAUAUAUACACAUGUAUACACACACACACCACUUGUAUUUUUUCUUUUAAGCAAUGUAGUUUUUAGAUUUUGUGCCUGUUUCUUUUAGUAAUUGGGGUUUAAUAUUUUUUAGGUUUUUUUAUUAUUCUGUAUAUUAAUUUCCUGAGGAACAGAUGAAAAAUAUUUUAUCAUAUUGGUAAUCUCUUUGUUUACAUUCUUGUUUCCUUUGUUGUGCAGAAGUUUUGAAAUUUGAUUUCAUCUCAUUUAUUGACUGUUAGUUUUAUUUCUUGUGCUUUAGAGGUCUUGUUAAGUUGAUGAUCUUGUCAAUAUGUUGGAGUGUUGGGCCACAUUUUCUUUAAGCAACUGUAGAGUUUCUGGUUUAAUUCCUAGGUAUUUGAUACACUUGGAGUUGGCUUUUAUGCAGGGUUAUAGGGAUCAAGUUUUAUGUUUUUCACAUAUGAAUAUCCAGUAUUCAUAACACCACUUGUUAAAAUGUUUCUGUUUUCUUCAACAUAUAUUUUUGGCCCCUUUGUCGCAUAUCAGGUCACUUUAUCUAUGUGGGUUUGUCUGUGUUUUCUUUUUCCAUUCAUCUUCAGGUCUGUUUUGGUGCCAAUUUAAUGCUGGUUUUUUUUUUUUUGUUGUUUGUUUGUUUUUAGUAAAGCUCUGUGAUAUAAUUGGAUAUCUGGUACUGUGAAGCUCUCAGCAUCACUCUUCUGGUUCAGGAUACAUUUGGAUGUUCUAUGUCACUUCUUUGUCAAAAUGAAUUUGAGAAAUGUGUUUUGUCUGUGUGUUAUGAAGAAUGUCUGUGUUUUGAAGGAUGUCAUUGAUAUUUUGACUGGGAUUAUACUGAGUCUGUUCACUGGUUAAGGUAGUAUGACCAUUGGGAUAAUAUUAAUUUUGCUUUUUCAAGAAUAUUGAAAGUAUUUCCACUUCUUAAGAUUGUCUUCGAUUUGUUUUACUUCACCAUUUUAUAAUUUUCAUUGUUGAGGUUUUUUUCAUCUCCUAAGUUAGAUAUUUUCCAAAGUAUUUUCUUUAGGGUUUUUUGAAUGAGACAUUUUUCAAUUGUUUUGAAGAGGGUUUGCUAUUGCAUUAUAGGACUCCAAUUGAUUUAUGUAUUAUUUUCUUUUAUCAUCUCUUUUAGUAGAUUUGUUAUCAGCACUAUAAAUUUUCUGAUGGAGCAUUUUAAAUCAUCUAAGUAAAAUGUUCAUGUCAUCAGUAAACAGAGGCAGCAGGACUUCUUUUUCCUAUGUGUAUGAAAUUAGUUUCUUCUCUUGCUUGUUUGCUCUUGCUGGGGAUUCAAGGAGUGGUGAAAGUUUACUUCCUUGUUUUGUUUUUGUUUUUAGAAAAAAAAUGUUUCAACUUUUUUAAUUCAGUUUGAUGUUGGCAUUUGGUUUCUCCUUCUAUCACUAGUCUCUCUGGUCUUUUUAACCUGAAUGGGUGCUGAGUGUUGUGAACAGGCUUUUCUGAAUCUACUGAUUAUAUCAUAGUAUUUUUGUAGUUAAAUUUGUUUAUACAGUAAAUUUUGUAUGUGUGUGUGUGUAUGCAUGCAUGCAUGUGCGCAUAUGUAUAUAUGUACACAUAUAUGUACUUAAAUUUUUUUUUAGAAUUGGGAAUUGAACCAAGGCAUGAUUUUCUAAUUAGGUUCAUGUGCCACUAUCCACUUUUUAGUUUUUUUCAUAUUUUUGUAAAUGCACUAUACUAUUACAGAACAAUGGAUUUAUUGUUACAUAUUCACAUAUGAAUCUAAUAUAAAAAUAAGCAAUAUUAUACCCCAGUGUUUCCCCUUUUUUUCCUUCCCUCCCUCAGGUCCUUUUACUCCUUUUUUAUUUCUUCUUUUUAGAUAUAUGUGACAGUAGAGUACAUUUGGAGAUAUUAUAUAUGGAUGAGAUAAACCUUAUUCUAAUUAGGAUCCCAUUCAUGUGGUUGUAUAUGGUGUGGAAUUUCACUGGUCAUGAAUUCAUAUAUACACAUAGAAAAGUUAUGUCCAGUUCAUUCUCAUGUCUUUCCUAUUCUCAUGCUGCUCCCUUACCUUACCUCUUUGUAUACUCCAAUGAACUUCAGUUAUUUCCUCUCUGUCCCUUAUUGUGUAUUAGCAUCCUCAUAUAAAAGAAAAUAUUUGGCCUUUGGUUUUGGGGAUUGACUUAUUUCACUUAGCUUGAUAGUCCCUAGUUCCAUCAAUGUAUUGCAAAAUGCCUUAAUUUGAUUUUUAUUUAAGGCUCAAUAAUGUUCUAUUGUGUAUAUAUAACCAUAUAUUCUUUUGGAUAUUUGAUUUUAAGAGAGACUAGGAUGAAGGGUCAGAAGCUUGGAAGAGAAAAGCUAUUGGUAUGAUUCUUCUAAUUCCCAGGUGUCCUUAUGGAGAAUAAAAUUGACACUUUCACCCCAGGCCAUCUGUUCAAAACUACAACAGUACAUCUCAAGUAGGGUACAUGACAGUCUCUUGGAGAGCUCACUCAAACUCAGACUUCUGGGCCUCAACUCAGAGUGUCUGACUCAGGGCCCAGGGGUGGCCCUUGAUUAUUUCUUACAGGCCCCCAGGGUUUGCUCAAGUUCCUGGUCUAAACACUUCCAACUGAUGGCCCUGGUCUAGAAAUUUCAGGGGCAGUGAAGGUGACAUAAGGUCCUCCUGGGGUCCAGUCUUCACCUUCUUUCCCUACCUCUUUUCCCAGUGCCCUACAGAGAAACCUACUGUAGCUCCUACUUAGAUCACACCUGCAUAUGUCCAUGAUAAAUUGGGGCACGUGGGAUCUUCCAGUCUCAAGGGCCUUCCACAGUUUCAGAUUUUUUUCCCUGAAGACUGCAAGCCCUAUCUCUGUACUUCAACCACUGUCUACAUAUCAGUUUUUAGAAUCUCAUCUUUUGGAUUGUUGAUUUCCAUGUGAAUUUUGGAACAUGGUUUACUAUUAGAAUUCCACACUGCAUUUUCAUGAUAUUUUAUCCAGGACUUUAUGGACACAGGAUGUUACUGAUGACAAUGGGAUUCCUCUUUUUCCCUUUUAUGAAAGGAAGCUACCAGUCUGGGACUAACUCCUUGAGUGUCAAGGAGGAGCCAAACAUAUGGGCCCUUUUGGGUUCCUAGGACUACUCUGAAAAAUAAUACUUACCGGGUGUCCUAAAAAAUCAAUUUAUUGUACCACAGUUGUGGAGUCUAGGAGUCCAAACUGAAUUAUUAUAAGGUAUCUGCUCUGAAAGGUCUAGGGGAGGAUUUUUCCUUGUCUCCUCUAGCUUUCAGUAGUUGUAGGAAAUCCUUGGCAUACCUUGACGUGUAGAUUCAUCUCUCCGUUUUCUGUCAUGAUUAUCACAUAUUAUUCUCUCCGCACAGGUAUACGUGUCCAAAUUUCCUCUUCUAAGGUCAUGAAUCAUUAGAUUAUAGCCCACUCUAAUUGACUAUGGACUCAUACAACAUUUUUAUGCACAAAAACCUCAUUUGCAGAUGAGAUAAUAAGCUGAUAUGCUGGGAAGGACAUGACUAUUCAACCCAGAGCAUGUAUUGAGCACUUAAUGUGCCCUAUUCCCUGUAUUUCCCAUGGCAGCACUGUGAGGUACACACAGGCAUCACUCACACUGAAUAAACCAGGAUAUGAAGCUCAGUAAAGCUGUGCUCCAGCCAGAAGCACUUGGAACACACAAGGUUGUAGUCACAGUGUAGCUGUAGCAUUGGUCCACCUGUCCAUUGAAAGAAUCAAAGGCCAAAUAAUCUUUAUGAUAUGUGGAUACUAACAAAUAAUCAGGAGGGAGAAGGAAGUAUACACCCCUGCACCUGUGUAGACAUGGGACUGCUUCCCAGAAAUAGUCCCAGAGGACUUCAGAUCUUUUAGUAGCUGCCUCUUUGAGAAUCUUAGAGUAGGAAUUGAUGCAUAAAAUAACAAUGCUCAAAUUUACUCAUCAAUUAUCCCAAAAGUUACAAUAUUACUCUUCUAAAUUUAGAUUACUAGAAUUUCAUUGAACAUCCUAUGCAGGUUUAUAGUAUGGAAUUAAAAAAAAUGUGAGCAUUUUGUGAGCUUGUUGAGCACUUAUGGAAGUAAAUACAAUGCCUUGCUGUACCUUUUGAUCACCAGCACCCUGCAGAGUUGCUACAGGGUGUAAGCACUCCAUAAUCAGUGUUUCUUCACAAACCAUUAUCUGUAUAAAAGGGCUACUUUGAAAAUAGAAAAGAAUCAUUUGUUGAAACAUGAACCUAUAGACAUGAUGUAAAAGGGAGUUUUUUAAAAAGGAAUUUGGAGUCAUCAUCAGUGAUAGAGAAGACUGGCAGACUCCAGGUGUUACCUGAUCCAGGUCCAGGCUCCUCAUUACUGGAAAACCAGUAGUCAGGAGAUGUGAAUUAGUGGGAAAGAAAUCAGGUUUACUGAAGAUCCAGCACACUGGUAGAGGGAGGGUGCUGUCAUCCUCAUAGUGUCCUCUUGGGAAUCUCAGGGACACAAAGGAUUUUUGUAGGGAGAGAAAGAUGGGAUUGUGAGGCAGUGGGAGAGGUCUCUUUAAGCAGAACUUUUGUCAUUGAGGGUGUGUUUCCUUUUCUUUCUCUCUGAAUGGACCAUCACAAUGGAGCUUGACUUUCUGGGGCUAGUACCUAUACUUUCUUUGAAUCGACAUAUUUCAUUCUGCAUGCUAAAUGUCACAGAAAUUUGCUUGUUUUGUGUUGGUAUAUAGCUAAAAACUAAGAAGAGGCAUGACACAUUCUGAUUUUAUCUGAGAAUCACCAGAUGUUCUGGGUUUUGUAAAUCUAAAGGAACAUUAUACAGCAGUUCACAUCUUAAUCAAUUAGCCACAGCUUCUCUCCAAAAUUUAGAAACCAGGGUGCAAGAGAGGGUGUAACUCUGUGGGGGUGAACAGAGAGGGAAGCUGAAGUAACUACCUAGGACAGCUCCCAGUGGUGAUGUCCUUCCCACCUUUUUCAUUGAUUUUUUAUUAAUGAACCCAGAGGCACUUUACCAUACAACUGAACUUACAUAUUUUUAAUUUUAAAAACAUUUUUGUUCCAGUCUCUCAGUAAGUUGUUGAAACUUGCCUCAAAGUUGAGAUAUUCUGUCUCUGCCUACUGAAUAGAUGAGGUGACAAGUAUACACCACUGCACCUGCAUAAGGGUGGCAACUGUUACACAGAAACAGUCCUUAUUUUUAUUUUUAAUAUAUUGUUAUUAAAAUGUUUAAAAACUCACAAAAAUAUAAGUACAUGGAAUACCAUCCCACCCUUUUCUGUUAUCACACUGUUUAAAAGCUUAGCUCUAAAGUAUUAAAUGUGGAAGGAUAAUUCUUGACCAGGCCAGCAUAUGAUGAAAUAUACAGUAUAGAUUAAAAAAAAAACAAAAAACUUUUAAUUUAAAGAAAUGUACAUGCUUUUGAAUUUUUCUGAAAAUGAUCCUUUUUCAUAUGUACUUUAUUAUGGAUAGAAGAGGAACGAUGUAAAUGACAAGAAGAGCUCAUGGAAAAACAGGAGGUGAACUUUUAGCAGAUUCUGGAUGGGGAGCCAAGGUAAAUACAAAUGACAUUUAAUCUGAAUUCAGCAAGAAUUAAAAACUUUCUGCUUCCUGUAAGUAGGUUUACAUUACCAAGAGGCUGGACUGUGGUACCUGGAGUCUUCUGUACCAUCCUGGAUGACAUCACCUGCCAGCCCAACCCCAUCCUGGAAGGGCAUCCAGCAGCAGGUCGGGAAGGCUCUAGUGUGACCAGGGGGAUUGGGAGGUGUUUCAUUCUUUGUCAAAAGAAGUUCCAGGGAACCAGCACACUGUUGCUGAGGAAGGUUGGGGUGAGAAGGAGAUGGUGGAGGGGAGACCAUUGAAGCCUGUUCAGGGGUUCUGUGCAGAGCAGAGGAAGUGGAGUCUGGGUGUUUGUUGGGGGCAGCAGCUUUUCCAAGGUGAUAGCAUGCCAAGCUUUGGAACUGGGAAGGCUUCAGGGUGUGGGAAGCACACUUGGACUGGAAUAAAGGAGAGAUUACACAAUAAGUGUCCUGAAGCAGUGUCAUUUGAAGUCAAGGUUCAGAAUGUUAGCUGCCAGUCGUUGUGUUUCCUCAGAAGAAGAACUUGCAGGUUUUUAGUGCAGGUCUGUACUUCACCUCAUUAGUCUCAGGAGUGGUUAUUUUCAUCUUCACUGAUCGUCCAUCCCAGUUCAACUGAAUUGUAGCAGUCCACUCUUUUGAAUGCUAAAGAUUUCCACAUCCAUGCACAACUUACUGUUGCUGGAAACAUUUUCUGUACUUCUUUCUUGACUUUUAUUUGGUCUUUCCCAAUAAGCAGAGUAGUAGUCCAAUGUUGUUUAUUACCAUGGUCCCCAGUGUCCAUACAGACAUUUAGACCACUGUAGAUCCUUUUUGAAGUGCGUGAUGAGAUGACUUUGAGUCCAAAUAGAAUUCACACAUGUGCAAUUAAGUACUCAAAAGUAUUUUGAGCCUGAGGGGGACCAUGACAUUCUCAAGUAGGAAAGAAAAAAGGAUACUGCAGUAUGAUUCUUCAAGAUAUGUCUGAACAGAAAAGCAUUAUAUGUUGAGAAAAAAAUUAACUAUAUAUUGAGAUUUGUGUGUAUCUUUUCUAGGUAGAAGAAUCUAGAAUUGUUUUAAUUUAGCCUUGAUCUGUUAGUACUGUAAUAAUGGUGAGGACAUUGCCUUGCCUUUCCUUAUCUUUCUUGCUUCCAGUUUCCUUCUGCAUGUAAACUUAAAAAAAAAGUCAAGUGUGAGUGAAGUUCUUAUUUUCUCUCUCCUUCUUUUGUAAAUGAUGUUUAUAUUUUGACCAGUAGAAACUUAGAUGUACCAAAGUUGUACAUAUUCGUAGUAAUUAAAUAUUAACAUGGUUAUUUUAGCUCAUUCUGUUUGUGCUCAGUUUUGAUAAAUGUAUCCCUGUUGUCUGAAUGCUUAGUAACACAUUGUGGUUGGUAUUAGAAGUGUAUGGAAAUAGCAGCACCGUUGCAUCUGAUUCUUGGCCUGGUAGUUUUCAAGGUUUGCUUGCUGAGUAGGAGAAGUUUUACGAGCCUCAAGUCAGUGAAUUGGUUUCUUGUGAAGAGUAUUUCCUGAUAGGGUUGCACUCUAAAUUCCAUUUCUGUAUGACAGGUUGUGUUGAUGGGAUGGGACACCAAGUAUAAUGGGAAGAAUGGUGCUCCAAUGCUAAGAGAAUGACUCCUAGAAACAUCAGUUCUCACACUCAAACCAAGUGUGAUCUUGCAGGUGCUGGAGAGAGAAUCUGAGGUUGACCAUGAAUCAGUGGAUUGGAGACACUUGGACACCCUGCUUCAAGCUAGGAGGCACUGGUUUGCAGUUGAGCAGAAAGGCAGUGUGGGCUCUGGUUCAACAUCCACUUGGCAGACACCAUCACCAGUGCUUAAGGAUGGAAGAGAGCCCCCCAAUCUGGAUUCUGUUUGACUCCAGGGGAAUGACGCAAAUUGGGGGUUAGUUGUGGCCU
This 27005-nucleotide long non-coding RNA is filed under the name Marmota monax (woodchuck). The record is from RNAcentral. Lineage: Eukaryota; Metazoa; Chordata; Mammalia; Rodentia; Sciuridae.